CUGAAACCGUAAAAUAAUGAAGUUACUCACCACAUCACAGUGGCUGUUCCAUGUUACUAUUAGUUUAACCCCAGGCAGAUCUUCCGCCAGUUGGUUAUCGGUGC
This is a long non-coding RNA of Octopus sinensis (East Asian common octopus), 104 nucleotides long. RefSeq lists it as uncharacterized. The record is from RefSeq and is a predicted model, not a curated record. The transcript has 3 exons. NCBI's taxonomy places the organism in Eukaryota, Metazoa, Mollusca, Cephalopoda, Octopoda, Octopodidae.